Molecule: ribosomal RNA, 360 nt
Filed under: uncultured bacterium
Lineage: Bacteria
Description: partial 16S ribosomal RNA
Rfam family: Bacterial small subunit ribosomal RNA
Source: RNAcentral
AUACGUAGGGUGCAAGCGUUAAUCGGAAUUACUGGGCGUAAAGCGUGCGCAGGCGGUUUUGUAAGACAGAGGUGAAAUCCCCGGGCUCAACCUGGGAACUGCCUUUGUGACUGCAAGGCUAGAGUACGGCAGAGGGGGAUGGAAUUCCGCGUGUAGCAGUGAAAUGCGUAGAUAUGCGGAGGAACACCGAUGGCGAAGGCAAUCCCCUGGGCCUGUACUGACGCUCAUGCACGAAAGCGUGGGGAGCAAACAGGAUUAGAUACCCUGGUAGUCCACGCCCUAAACGAUGUCAACUGGUUGUUGGGUCUUCAUUGACUCAGUAACGAAGCUAACGCGUGAAGUUGACCGCCUGGGGAGUAC